AUUGAACGCUGGCGGCAUGCCUUACACAUGCAAGUCGAACGGUAACAGGUCUUCGGAUGCUGACGAGUGGCGAACGGGUGAGUAAUACAUCGGAACGUGCCUAGUAGUGGGGGAUAACUACUCGAAAGAGUGGCUAAUACCGCAUGAGAUCUACGGAUGAAAGCAGGGGAUCGCAAGACCUUGUGCUACUAGAGCGGCCGAUGGCAGAUUAGGUAGUUGGUGGGAUAAAAGCUUACCAAGCCGACGAUCUGUAGCUGGUCUGAGAGGACGAUCAGCCACACUGGGACUGAGACACGGCCCAGACUCCUACGGGAGGCAGCAGUGGGGAAUUUUGGACAAUGGGCGAAAGCCUGAUCCAGCAAUGCCGCGUGCAGGAUGAAGGCCUUCGGGUUGUAAACUGCUUUUGUACGGAACGAAAAGCCCCGGGUUAAUACCCUGGGUCAUGACGGUACCGUAAGAAUUAGCACCGGCUAACUACGUGCCAGCCGCCGCGGUAA
RNAcentral lists this ribosomal RNA (497 nucleotides) under uncultured bacterium. RNAcentral describes it as "partial 16S ribosomal RNA". It matches the Rfam family "Bacterial small subunit ribosomal RNA", at positions 30 to 523 of the family's 1533-position model. The record is from RNAcentral.